This 2920-nucleotide ribosomal RNA is filed under the name Ephemera danica. RNAcentral's name for it is "bacterial LSU rRNA". It matches the Rfam family "Bacterial large subunit ribosomal RNA". Lineage: Eukaryota; Metazoa; Arthropoda; Insecta; Ephemeroptera; Ephemeridae. The record is from RNAcentral.
GCAAGAAUAUGAAGGGCAACAGGUGGAUGCCUUGGCGUCGGAAGGCGAUGAAAGACGUGAGAGGCUGCGAUAAGCCCCGGCGAGGAGCCUACUAUCCUUCGACCCGGGGAUCUCUGAAUGGGGAAACCCGGCGGGAGUAAUGUCCCGUCAUACAGGUCUGAAUAAAAUAGGGCCAUGUAAGCGAACGCGGGGAAGUGAAACAUCUCAGUACCCGCAGGAGAAGAAAUCAAACGAGACUCCCAAAGUAGUGGCGAGCGAAAUGGGAUGAGCCUAAACCGUAGUGUUACGACAUUACGGGGUUGUAGGGCGGCUAACAUUGAUCUGCGAGUAGGCAUGAGAAGCAGCUGGAAAGCUGCGCCACAGAGGGUGAAAGCCCCGUAUCUUAAACCGAACAACAGCAAAAGCCGUACCUGAGUACCGCGGGGCACGUGAAACCCCGUGGGAAUCUGGGAGGACCAUCUUCCAAGGCUAAGUACUCUCCGACGACCGAUAGUGAACUAGUACCGUAAGGGAAAGGUGAAAAGUACCCCAUCAAGGGGAGUUAAAAGACCUGAAACCUGUUGCCUACAAGCUGUGGGAGCACCCUAGUGGUGUGACCGCGUGCCUUUUGCAUAAUGAGUCAGCGAGUUACUUUGUCCAGCAAGGUUAAGCGAGAUGCGGAGCCGUAGCGAAAGCGAGUCUUAAUAGGGCGAUUAGUUGGGCAGAGUAGACCCGAAACCGGGUGAGCUAUCCAUGAGCAGGUUGAAGCACGGGUAAAACCGUGUGGAGGACCGAACCGUCAACGGCUGAAAACGUUCCGGAUGACUUGUGGAUAGGGGUGAAAGGCCAAUCAAACCCGGUGAUAGCUGGUUCUCCCCGAAAUAUAUUGAGGUAUAGCCUCAGGGAUUGUCUUUUGGAGGUAGAGCACUGACAGGGCUAGGGGUCCCACCAGAUUACCAAACCCUAUCAAACUCCGAAUGCCAGUAAGAUUUACCCUGGGAGUCAGACUGCGGGUGCGAAGAUCCGUAGUCGAAAGGGAAACAGCCCAGACCAACAGCUAAGGUCUCCAAAUCCAUGCUCAGUGUUGAAGGUGGUAGGGUUACAUAGACAGCCAGGAAGUUGGCUUAGAAGCAGCCAUCUUUUAAAGAAAGCGUAAUAGCUCACUGGUCUAGUGACCCCGCGCCGAAAAUGUAACGGGGCUAAGCAUGGUACCGAAGCUUUGGGUGAAACAAUAGUUUCGCGGUAGGGGAGCGUUCUGUACGGGGUGAAGGGGUGGCGGAAGCCUACCUGGACUGUACAGAAGUGAUUAUGCUGACAUAAGUAACGAUAAAACGGGUGAAAAACCCGUUCGCCGUAAACCCAAGGAUUCCUGGGUCAAGGUAAUCUUCCCAGGGUUAGUCGGCCCCUAAGGCGAGGCAGAAAUGCGUAGUCGAUGGGAAACGGAUUAAUAUUUCCGUACUUGCAUACAGUGCGAUGGAAGAACGCAGAAGGAUAGGCCGGGUCACCUAUUGGACAUGGUGGUCUGAUCCCCGUAGGCGAAAAAGAUUAAUACCCUUUUUAUCACGCCGAGAGGGUGAAAUAGCGCAAGCGAAAGAGCUGAUUCCAGACUGCCAAGAAAAGCUCCUAAGCAAUAGCUGUAUGUGAACCGUACCGAAAACCAACACAGGUGGGUGGGUGUAAAUGCACCAAGGCGCUCGAGAGAACUCUGGUUAAGGAACUCGGCAAAAUAACCCCGUAACUUCGGGAGAAGGGGUGCUCCUUUUUGUGAAGCAUUUACUGCAUAAGCAUAAAGGAGCCGCAGAGCAAUGGCGGUGGCGACUGUUUACUAAAAACAUAGGUCUGUGCGAAGUCGUAAGACGAUGUAUACGGACUGACGCCUGCCCGGUGCUGGAAGGUUAAAAGGAGAGGUCAGCGCAAGCAAAGCUUCGAAUUGAAGCCCCAGUAAACGGCGGCCGUAACUAUAACGGUCCUAAGGUAGCGAAAUUCCUUGUCGGGUAAGUUCCGACCUGCACGAAUGGCGUAACGAUCUCCGCACUGUCUCAACCAGAGACUCGGUGAAAUUGAAGUGGCGGUGAAAAUGCCGUCUACCCGCAGCGUGACGGAAAGACCCUGUGCACCUUUACUAUAGCUUGACAUUGGGUUUUGGGCCAUCAUGUGUAGGAUAGGUGGGAGGCUGUGAACUCUGUACGCCAGUAUGGAAGGAGCCAACCUUGAAAUACCACCCUUGCUGGUUUAAGACUCUAAUCCCUACCUGUGAUCCAGGAGGGAGACAUUGUCUGGUGGGUAGUUUGACUGGGGCGGUCGCCUCCCAAAUAAUAACGGAGGCACGCAAAGGUUCCCUCAGGCUGAUUGGAAACCAGCCGCCGAGUGCAAACGCAUAAGGGAGCUUGACUGCAAGAGUGACAGCUCGAGCAGGUACGAAAGUAGGUGUUAGUGAUCCGGUGGUCCCGAAUGGAAGGGCCAUCGCUCAUUGGAUAAAAGGUACGCCGGGGAUAACAGGCUGAUCGCAUCCAAGAGUCCAUAUCGACGAUGCGGUUUGGCACCUCGAUGUCGGCUCAUCACAUCCUGGGGCUGAAGCAGGUCCCAAGGGUACGGCUGUUCGCCGUUUAAAGUGGUACGCGAGCUGGGUUUAAAACGUCGUGAGACAGUUUGGUCCCUAUCUGCUGUGGGCGUAAGAUAUUUGAGAGGGCCUGUUCCUAGUACGAGAGGACCGGGAUGGACGAACCUCUGGUGAGCCUGUUGUCGCGCCAGCGGCACCGCAGGGUAGCUACGUUCGGAAGGGAUAAACGCUGAAAGCAUCUAAGCGUGAAGCCUGCCUCAAGAUAAGAUAUCUCCCCGUAAGGGUAAGACCCCUGGUAGACCACCAGGUUGAUAGGCUGGGAGUGUAAGCGCAGCAAUGGGUUCAGCUUACCAGUACUAAUAGGUCGAAAUCUUGUUCUUU